ACAGUGUUCCGAGAUGACACUGUUCAUAUGAACAGUGGUCCGUGAAAACACUGUUCAAAUGAACAGUGUUACGAAGACCAAAACCCAUCUCACUAUUCAUCUUCUUCCUCCCGUAAUCAUCACGGCCAUUCGUCUUCAUCCAGGAUCCAGCUCCUCCGCCAUCAGCCCAUUCCAGCGCAUCCCCUCCUCCCCCAAACUUCCAAAA
This 205-nucleotide long non-coding RNA is filed under the name Phoenix dactylifera (date palm). Its description in RNAcentral is "long non-coding RNA (PDAC_LNC008898)". Lineage: Eukaryota; Viridiplantae; Streptophyta; Magnoliopsida; Arecales; Arecaceae. The record is from RNAcentral.